UAGAAAUGCGCCUCCUUCAUCUGGGAGAGA
RNAcentral lists this non-coding RNA (30 nucleotides) under Mus musculus (house mouse). The record is from RNAcentral. Lineage: Eukaryota; Metazoa; Chordata; Mammalia; Rodentia; Muridae.